RNAcentral lists this unclassified non-coding RNA (172 nucleotides) under soil metagenome. RNAcentral's name for it is "partial contains 5.8S ribosomal RNA, internal transcribed spacer 2, and large subunit ribosomal RNA". The record is from RNAcentral.
AACCAUAGAAACCUGCGGAGUACCUGCGGAGGGAUCAUUAAAGAUUGACCGAAAGGUCUUAUCUCUAUAUCCCUCACCUCUGUGAACUGUGGACCUCCGGGUCUAUUUAACAAACAUCAGUGUAAUGAACGUAUAUAUCAUUAAACAAAACAAAACUUUUAGCAAUGGAUCU